RNAcentral lists this ribosomal RNA (482 nucleotides) under uncultured bacterium. Its description in RNAcentral is "partial 16S ribosomal RNA". It matches the Rfam family "Bacterial small subunit ribosomal RNA", at positions 29 to 523 of the family's 1533-position model. The record is from RNAcentral.
AAUGAACGUUGGCGGCGUGGAUUAGGCAUGCGAGUCGCGCGAGAAUUGUAGCAAUACAAGGACAGCGGCGAAAGGGAGAGGACAACAUGGGAAUCUGCCCUGGGGACGAGGAUAGCGUCGGGAAACUGACGGUAAUACUCGAUAAUGUUUGCGGACCAAAGGUGAGAUUCCGCUCCAGGAUGAGCCCAUGCCCCAUUAGCUAGUUGGCAGGGUAAUGGCCUACCAAGGCUAUGAUGGGUAGCUGGUGUGAGAGCAUGACCAGCCUCACUGGCACUGAGACACUGGCCAGACACCUACGGGUGGCUGCAGUCGAGAAUCUUCGGCAAUGGACGAAAGUCUGACCGAGCGACGCCGCGUGCGGGAUGAAGGCCUUCGGGUUGUAAACCGCUGUCGUAGGGGAUCAAAUUUACGAGGGUUCUCCCUCGUAUUUGAGAGAUCCUAGGAGGAAGGAGAGGCUAAGCUCGUGCCAACAGCCGCCGUAA